UCUCCGUAGGUGAACCUGCGGAGGGAUCAUUACAGAGUUCAUGCCCUUCGGGGUAGAUCUCCACCCUAUGUAUUUAUACUCUUGUUGCUUUGGUAGGCCGCUGGGCUUCGGCUUGGCCACCGGCUCACGCUGGUGUGUGCCUACCAGAGGCUAUCAAACUCUGAAUGUUAGUGUCGUCUGAGUACUAUAUAAUAGUUAAAACUUUCAACAACGGAUCUCUUGGCUCUGGCAUCGAUGAAGAACGCAGC
Molecule: unclassified non-coding RNA, 248 nt
Filed under: uncultured fungus
Lineage: Eukaryota; Fungi
Description: sequence contains ITS1, 5.8S rRNA gene
Rfam family: 5.8S ribosomal RNA (bases 200-248)
Source: RNAcentral